Molecule: long non-coding RNA, 2050 nt
Filed under: Prunus dulcis (almond)
Lineage: Eukaryota; Viridiplantae; Streptophyta; Magnoliopsida; Rosales; Rosaceae
Description: sRNA ncRNA
Source: RNAcentral
GGACUUAAGAGAUUAGUAGUGGUCCACAUAAAUUUUGGUUCACAAUUUUGCAGUGGCGAGUUUCCUUUUUGACACUAUAAAAUGCACCCUUUGAGAACGAUCCUGAAUCCAACAGUAUUGAGAUUAUCAGAGGCUAAAAGUUGUACAAAUACAAUUCUAAAACAUGGGUUCAGAAUUUAUUCAUGGAAUUACCUGGUUUUUGUUCUUGGUGGCGAUAUGUGCCAUCAAAGCCAAAGCUAUCAGUGUUGAUGUCGUUAAAUUUGGAGCCAAGGGUGAUGGCAAGACAGAUGAUACCAAGGUAACAAACAACUAACUCUCGAUCAUGAUAUUGAAACUCAGAUUUUUCUCUAACAAAAUAAACUUUAGUUUUUUCAUCGAACAAUCAAAUACUAUCACGUCAUUCGGCGAAUAAAAUUUAGUGUGCUAUGUGAUACUUUUGGUGUUAUGAAAAAGUUUACAAGCCAACUGAAUUGUUUCUCAUCAAACUAAUGUUUUCUUGUUACGUGAGUAAAUUUUCAGGCUUUCACACAAGCAUGGACACAAGCCUGCAGCGAGAGGCAAAAUAACAGAUAUGUGAUACCAAAAGGAACAUAUAUAGUUGGUCCGGUUGAUUUUGCAGGGCCCUGCAAAGCAAAAACUAUUCACUUUAAGGUUGACGGAACAGUGCAGUCUUCAAAAAAGCAGUCGGUAACUGGAGGUGCGCACCCUAAUGCGUGGAUUAGUUUCACGCAGGUUAACAACUUGUUCAUCUCAGGAGAUGGCAUUUUUGAUGGCCAAGGAUUUGAAGGCAAUUGUACUAAAGCUAAACAAUGCGAACAACCGCCUCUAGUACGCAUCCCCAUUCUCAAUAAUUUUAAUUUUUUUGUUUGUUUAUUCAACAACUAUUUAUCAUACAUGAGUUUUGAACUCAGAACUUCUUCAAACAAAAUGAAGACGGAAGUUAUGAUCUGUUCGAUCGGGAUUAUUUAAUGCUUCUUUGAUUGAAUGCAGAAUUUAGUUUUCGCUAUGGUUAAGGAUUCACACAUCCAAGGCAUAACAUCGAACAAUAGCGUCGGCGGUCACAUUGGCAUUUACCGGUCAAUAAACAUGACAGUGGACAAUGUUGACAUUGGCAUCAAAGGUGGGGAGGGAAUCCUGAUCGAAAAGUCAACAAACAUUAACAUCAUCAAUACAAACAUCAAAAUCCUUCACGACAACUGUGUCACUAUCCUAGAUGGAAACACUGGGAUCAACAUCGAAAAAAUGACCUGCUCACAAGGCAAUGGCCUUGGUGUGAGUGUCCUAGGCAACACUGGCAAAGAGGAGCCGAUUAAGGGCGUGACGGUGAGAAACUGUACCUUCUCACACACUGAGGGUGCAAUUAGGAUCCAGAGUUCGGCGGCUUCUAAUGCUAAUAUAGCCAUCUCUAAUUUGGUUUUUGAAGACAUUAUUUUCGACUAUCUUCAGAACAUGGCUAUAAUCUUAGACCAGGAGCAUUGCCCAUCAAAACAGUGCCGAACGACAAACCCCUCCAAAGUUAAGGUGGAAAAUGUGAGCUUCAAGAACAUUAAGGGCACUUCCGUGGACCCUCGUGUCGUUAUUCUUGAGUGUGGCACUGCUCCCGACGCAUGUAAGGACAUCAGGUUUAUCGACUUGAGAGUUCUCGUCGUAGGGGAUGACCGUUUGGAGACUCAAUUUAGAUGUAAAAACGUGAAGCCUGCUGUGGCUGGCCAUGUUGAUCCUGCUGCUUGUAAUACACGAGCUGUUGCCUGAUAUUAGUUCACCUACGACAUCUUUACAUCCAAGAUAGAGAAAGAGAUAAAGACAGAUUAAAAUGGUUUAUAUAUAUAUAUAUAUAUAUAUAUAUAUAUAAUAGGGUAUUCACCCCUUCCUUCAUACUUAAUUGAAUGAUGGGUGGUGAUGUACGUAUCUAAGAAUCACAUCAGCAACAGAAUAUUGCUGCUUUUUGUAAUAACUUCUGGCUUUAAAUAUUGUUUGUUCAGACUAAUCAUGUACUAGUAUUUCGUCGUUUCAAUGUGGUGAUUAUUAUUUGGAUUUUAACUGCAUUUGC